This 496-nucleotide ribosomal RNA is filed under the name uncultured bacterium. RNAcentral's name for it is "partial 16S ribosomal RNA". It matches the Rfam family "Bacterial small subunit ribosomal RNA", at positions 28 to 506 of the family's 1533-position model. The record is from RNAcentral.
GAUGAACGCUGGCGGCGUGCCUAAUACAUGCAAGUCGAGCGAACAGACGAGGAGCUUGCUCCUCUGACGUUAGCGGCGGACGGGUGAGUAACACGUGGAUAACCUACCUAUAAGACUGGGAUAACUUCGGGAAACCGGAGCUAAUACCGGAUAAUAUAUUGAACCGCAUGGUUCAAUAGUGAAAGACGGUUUUGCUGUCACUUAUAGAUGGAUCCGCGCCGCAUUAGCUAGUUGGUACGGUAACGGCUUACCAAGGCAACGAUGCGUAGCCGACCUGAGAGGGUGAUCGGCCACACUGGAGCUGAGACACGGUCCAGACUCCUACGGGAGGCAGCAGUAGGGAAUCUUCCGCAAUGGGCGAAAGCCUGACGGAGCAACGCCGCGUGAGUGAUGAAGGUCUUCGGAUCGUAAAACUCUGUUAUUAGGGAAGAACAAAUGUGUAAGUAACUAUGCACGUCUUGACGGUACCUAAUCAGAAAGCCACGGCUAACUACGU